CCUACGGGUGGCAGCAGUGGGGAAUAUUGGACAAUGGGGGGAACCCUGAUCCAGCGACGCCGCGUGAGUGAAGAAGUAUUUCGGUAUGUAAAGCUCUAUCAGCAGGGAAGAAAGAAAUGACGGUACCUGACUAAGAAGCCCCGGCUAACUACAUGCCAGCAGCCGCGGUAAUACGUAGGGUGCAAGCGUUAUCCGGAUUUACUGGGUGUAAAGGGAGCGUAGACGGCGAUGCAAGUCUGAAGUGAAAGGCGGGGGCCCAACCCCCGGACUGCUUUGGAACCUGUAUGGCUGGAGUGCAGGGGAGGUAAGUGGAAUUCCUAGUGUAGCGGUGAAAUGCGUAGAUAUUAGGAGGAACACCAGUGGCGAAGGCGGCUUACUGGACUGUAACUGACGUUGAGGCUCGAAAGCGUGGGGAGCAAACAGGAUUAGAUACCCUUGUAGUC
Molecule: ribosomal RNA, 443 nt
Filed under: uncultured bacterium
Lineage: Bacteria
Description: partial 16S ribosomal RNA
Rfam family: Bacterial small subunit ribosomal RNA
Source: RNAcentral